RNAcentral lists this ribosomal RNA (641 nucleotides) under uncultured marine eukaryote. RNAcentral's name for it is "SSU rRNA". It matches the Rfam family "Eukaryotic small subunit ribosomal RNA", at positions 613 to 1258 of the family's 1831-position model. The record is from RNAcentral.
UUGCGGUUAAAAAGCUCGUAGUUGGAUUUCUGUCGAGGACGGCCGGUCCGCACUUUGUGCGUGUAUCUGGUUCGGUCUUGGCAUCCUCUUGGGGAACGUUUCUGUGCUUCGUUGCAUGGGGCGGGAUUCAAGACUUUUACUUUGAGGAAAUUAGAGUGUUCACGGCAAGCUAUCGCUUUGAAUACAUUAGCAUGGAAUAAUAAUAUAGGGCGUAAGUUCUAUUUUGUUGGUUUCUAGGACAUACGCAAUGAUUAAUAGGGACAAUUGGGGGCAUUCGUAUUAACGCGUCAGAGGUGGAAUUCUUAGAUUGCGUUACGACGAACUACUGCGAAAGCAUUUGCCAAGGAUGUUUUCAUUGAUCAAGAACGAAAGUAUGGGGAUCGAAGACGAUUAGAUACCGUCGUAGUCUAUACCAUAAACUAUGCCGAUUAGAGAUUGGAGGUCGUUCGUUUUAUGACUCCUUCAGCACCUUAUGAGAAAUCAAAAUUUUUGGGUUCCGGGGGGAGUAUGGUCGCAAAGCUGAAACUUAAAGGAAUUGACGGAAGGGCACCACCAGGAGUGGAGCCUGCGGCUUAAUUUGACUCAACACGGGAAAACUUACCAGGUCCAGACAUAGUAAGGAUUGACGGAUUGACAGCUCU